AUGAAAGACAGUCAUGGUAAC
RNAcentral lists this non-coding RNA (21 nucleotides) under Rattus norvegicus (Norway rat). The record is from RNAcentral. Lineage: Eukaryota; Metazoa; Chordata; Mammalia; Rodentia; Muridae.